RNAcentral lists this ribosomal RNA (497 nucleotides) under uncultured bacterium. RNAcentral describes it as "partial 16S ribosomal RNA". It matches the Rfam family "Bacterial small subunit ribosomal RNA", at positions 28 to 507 of the family's 1533-position model. The record is from RNAcentral.
GAUGAACGCUGGCGGCGUGCCUAAUACAUGCAAGUCGAGCGAACAGAUGAGGAGCUUGCUCCUCUGACGUUAGCGGCGGACGGGUGAGUAACACGUGGAUAACCUACCUAUAAGACUGGGAUAACUUCGGGAAACCGGAGCUAAUACCGGAUAAUAUAUUGAACCGCAUGGUUCAAUAGUGAAAGACGGUUUUGCUGUCACUUAUAGAUGGAUCCGCGCCGCAUUAGCUAGUUGGUAAGGUAACGGCUUACCAAGGCAACGAUGCGUAGCCGACCUGAGAGGGUGAUCGGCCACACUGGAACGGAGACACGGUCCAGACUCCGACGGGAGGCAGCAGUAGGGAAUCUUCCGCAAUGGGCGAAAGCCUGACGGAGCAACGCCGCGUGAGUGAUGAAGGUCUUCGGAUCGUAAAACUCUGUUAUUAGGGAAGAACAAAUGUGUAAGUAACUAUGCACGUCUUGACGGUACCUAAUCAGAAAGCCACGGCUAACUACGUG